GUGCUUGCUUUGGCAGCACAAACACUAAAAUUGGAACCGUGCAGAGAUUAGCACAUGGCCCCUGUACAGAUGACACACAAAUUCAUGAAGCAUAAGAAAGAAAA
Molecule: small nuclear RNA, 104 nt
Organism: Gorilla gorilla gorilla (western lowland gorilla)
Lineage: Eukaryota; Metazoa; Chordata; Mammalia; Primates; Hominidae
Source: Ensembl